AGAGUUUGAUCCUGGCUCAGAAUGAACGCUGGCGGCGUGCUUAACACGUGCAAGUCGCACGAGAACGCUUUAGCUUGCUAAAGCAAGUAAAGUGGCGCACGGGUGAGUAACGCGUGGGCAAUCUACCUCCGAAUCGGGGAUAACAUUGCGAAAGCGAUGCUAAUACCGGAUGACAUCCUGAAGGCUUUGGUUUUAAGGAUCAAAGGUGGCCUCUACAACUAAGCUACUGUUUGGAGAUGAGCCCGCGUACCAUUAGCUUGUUGGUAGGGUAACGGCCUACCAAGGCGACGAUGGUUAGCUGGUCUGAGAGGAUGAUCAGCCACACUGGAACUGACACACGGUCCAGACUCCUACGGGAGGCAGCAGUGAGGAAUUUUGCGCAAUGGGGGAAACCCUGACGCAGCAACGCCGCGUGAGUGAUGAAGGCUUUCGGGUCGUAAAGCUCUGUCAAGUGGGAAGAAACCACGAGGUGAUAAUAUCGCUUUGUGCUGACGGUACCACUGAAGGAAGCACCGGCUAACUCCGUGCCAGCAGCCGCGGUAAUACGGGGGGUGCAAGCGUUAUUCGGAAUCAUUGGGCGUAAAGGGCGCGUAGGCGGUUUGUUAAGUCAGAUGUGAAAGCCCGGGGCUCAACCCCGGAAGUGCAUUUGAUACUGGCGGACUUGAGUAUGGGAGAGGGAAGUGGAAUUCCUGGUGUAGAGGUGAAAUUCGUAGAUAUCAGGAGGAACACCGGUGGCGAAGGCGACUUCCUGGACCAAUACUGACGCUGAGGCGCGAAGGCGUGGGUAGCAAACAGGAUUAGAUACCCUGGUAGUCCACGCAGUAAACGGUGAUCACUAGGUGUAGCGGGUAUUGACCCCUGCUGUGCCGCAGUUAACGCAUUAAGUGAUCCGCCUGGGGAGUACGGCCGCAAGGUUAAAACUCAAAGGAAUUGACGGGGGCCCGCACAAGCGGUGGAGCAUGUGGUUUAAUUCGACGCAACGCGAAGAACCUUACCUGGGUUUGACAUCUCGGGGAUUUUUUGGAAACAAGAAAGUGCCCUUCGGGGAGCCCGAAGACAGGUGCUGCAUGGCUGUCGUCAGCUCGUGUCGUGAGAAGUUGGGUUAAGUCCCGCAACGAGCGCAACCCUUCUCUUUAGUUACCAUCAUUUAGUUGGGGACUCUAAAGAUACUGCCCCGGUUAACGGGGAGGAAGGUGGGGAUGACGUCAAGUCCU
Molecule: ribosomal RNA, 1214 nt
Filed under: metagenome
Description: bacterial SSU rRNA
Rfam family: Bacterial small subunit ribosomal RNA
Source: RNAcentral